ACGGGAGGCAGCAGUGGGGAAUAUUGCACAAUGGGGGGAACCCUGAUGCAGCAACGCCACGUGUGGGAAGAAGCAUUUCGGUGUGUAAACCACUGUCGUGAGGGAAUAAUGCUUGGCUCCGGCCAAGUUGAAUGUGCCUCGAAAGGAAGCACCGGCAAACUUCGUGCCAGCAGCCGCGGUAAUACGAGGGGUGCAAGCGUUGUGCGGAAUCACUGGGCGUAAAGGGAGCGUAGGCGGAGACGCAAGCAGUCUGUACAAGACCGGGGCCCAACCCCGGACCUGCAGACUGGACUGUGUCUCUUGGAUAGUUCAGGGGCAGGCGGAAUUCCUGGUGUAGCGGUGGAAUGCGUAAAGAUCAGGAAGAACACCGAUGUCGAAGGCAGCCUGCUGGGGACUCAUCGACGCUGAGGCUCGAAAGUGCGGGUAGCAAACAGGAUUAGAUACCCUGGUA
Molecule: ribosomal RNA, 451 nt
Filed under: uncultured Fibrobacter sp.
Lineage: Bacteria; Pseudomonadati; Fibrobacterota; Fibrobacteria; Fibrobacterales; Fibrobacteraceae
Description: partial 16S ribosomal RNA
Rfam family: Bacterial small subunit ribosomal RNA
Source: RNAcentral